AAAAUGGAUUCAAAGAAGUAAUAUAGUGCACACAUAAACGCAUUUCAUGCUCAAUGCUAGAAUUAAGAAGUCACGUGCUAUAAUUUCGACUUUUAAAACCUCUCUCCAAUGACUCAUGAAACUGUGUAACCGUUGCAGAAUACUAGUGCACCGUGUUCUUCCAGGGCGCAAUAGUCAACUAACUAUACAGCAAAAAUAGAGUUGCACAUUAGUAUCAUUUUUCUCAAAUUAUCUUAAGACAUGUUACAUCAGUCCUCAACUUUAUCCGCGUAUCGGCGCAAAUGGUAUCAAUAUAAAUUAGAGCUAGCCGAUUGUCUUUUAAUUAUGCCAUUCAUAUUGACUAAUGACUAUAUGAGAUUUGGUGAAACGAAUUUUCAUGUCGAUAGUAUACUAAUUUAGGAAAUAUUAGGUAAAAGUUAUGUGUCAGGAUGAAUUGUCUUCCCUAUCAUUAGUAUUCAAAAACACCAUUAUUGCUCAAAUUGAAGCUUCCGAAAAUAGAGCAGACAGGAAGUCUUUGGAAUUCUUUGUUAACUGCCGUCGAAAGGAAGCCAUUAUCAGAGAGCAUCUGGCCCGAUUCUGGCCUUUUUCCAGGCAGACAGUACUGCAUUCUUAGCCCAUCACUUGCUGGACCACGAUCCCAUCUCAGAACAUUGACCGGUCAUUUGCUCAACACGCAAAAAAUAAGCUAAUUUUAAAAUUUUUAACACUAUCAUACCACCAAGUCAAAUUGAUUUUUAAUUUCAUUUGACCAUUAUUUACAUGGGUUAUCAUAGUGAAAUUUGAUUCUUUAGCCAUUUACAAUAUGCAUAUAAAAUAUUAAUAGAUUUAAAAAAUUAAAAAUUUUUCUUAUAAAAAUGGUCAAAUUUCCAUAAUAUAAUACAUGAAAAUUGACCGAGUUUGACAUGAAAAUUUUCAAAUUUUCAAAUUGACUAAUAUUUAACAUGCAAGUUAGAAAUGACUAAAAAUUAAGAUUUAUAUGAAUACUAUAAAACUUAUAUAAACCCUCUUCCAACAACUCGAAUUAUUAUAAUACAACGGUUUUUUAUAUCAAAAUACACCAAAACCCAUCACUAAUUCAUCUGAUAAGUUUAUUUUCAUCUAUAUACUUGUUUAUAAUCCAAUCAAUACAAGUAUUUUUCAUACCAACUAUAUCCUGGAGGAGCAAAGACACGUGGAGAGCCCUCUGUUUUGUGAUCUCUGCCAAUCACACGUUACCAAGUAACAUUUCAGGCUACAGCACUGGAGCUAGCCAAUGACUUUGGCCAGCAAGAUUGGACUUUGACUGGUCAUUGGUCUGACCUCCCCCCGCCCAACCAAACCGGUCAGAAAUCCGAGCCAGAGCCUCAGAAUUACCAAGAAACCCACUACUUAACUUACCCACCCGUGGUCAAAAAGGAGAACGAAGACUGGCCCCACUUUUCACACGCAUUGGAAUCAUAUCGUGGAAAAGGGGGUUUUCUGGGCAAAGACUAGUGGAAAUAUGGGACGAAUGGAACAAACGAUAGGGUUAAAAGAGAAUAAACUAGAAAGUGACCGAAAGGUAAAAAAAUCAAUGUUGCUGUGUGAAUGGCUUUUUAUUUGCCCGGGGGGCAAGUAAAAAAGGUGGAGUCUGGUGAGAGCUGCGUUUCUGGCUUGAUGCUGCAGUCUGUGUGGUAGUCGUUUUCAAUGGGGUUUGGGACUUUGGAUUGGUAUGCUUUUGAAUAGACCCAGUGGGUGGAAACUUAUAUGAAAAGAACUUAUGAUCAUGAGUUUAUAAUAUGGACCAUGGCUACGUACGUGUACUUACUUGACCACCUUUGUUGCUGUGGUUACAGGUUCAAUGCAAUUUUUGACCGUCGAGAUUGCUUAGCUCCUCGAAUUUGAAUCGAUCGAUGGUUGCGUUCUGGAUAUGUGCAUGUGCUCGUUUAUCGGUCUUUUUGAAUGAGAAUGUGAGGGAAGAUCUCGAGACAUUGUUCAAGUUGAAGAAUGAAGCUAUAAGGAACACUAGAAGUAGCUCGCGCUAUGCUGAGAAUCGUUUUUAUAGUCAAGGUAUGAUGACGAUUUGGAAAAUGUUUAUUUGUCACAAAAUUAUUCCCCGACCAUAGGAGAGUAGUACAAUGGAUAAAAAAUAGGUCGGUCAAGUGUUUGUUAAUCACAAUAACACAUAUAUAUGACAAGUGUUCGUAGAAAUAUAAAGAUGGUGUAUAGUACUCCACCAUUUAUAUUAUCCUGGCAAUCUACUAGUAGCGAGUUUCACAAUUUGAGUUAACCUUUUUUGUUUUGAAAAAACGAGAUCUCCAUUCACAUUCAAAUUAAAGUCUCACAUAAAUAAUGAAAUCAAAUUAAGCGAUAGAAUACUUUUAUGGACGUCAUUCCACAUUUUGACCGGUAAAAUCCGAGGAAAGAAUUGAAUUUUUAAGUCCUCAUCACAUAACUCGAGAAGAGAAGGAAACAAUACUUUGCAAAUAGGCCAUGUAUAUAUCUCUACGGUCAUCAAUUUAAUUUUUGGAGCCUAAAAAGCAUUAACUAGUUCGAAACCAUCCUCGAAAAUGGCGGAACUCAAGGAUGAAACUUGGGUCUCAAAUAGAAAGAACAAAGUAAAGUACUAAUCCGCCUAUCACAAACCUGGCCAAUGAAGAUUGUGAUGAGGUGGUUUUCGAUCGUGAACCAUUUAGGACUUUGACCCAUGAAUAUGUAUUAUCUAUGAGUGAAUAGUUUGCAUAAUAUAAUGGGAUUGAUGUCGAUUGACAGGAGUGGCCU
Molecule: long non-coding RNA, 2739 nt
Filed under: Linum usitatissimum (flax)
Lineage: Eukaryota; Viridiplantae; Streptophyta; Magnoliopsida; Malpighiales; Linaceae
Description: long non-coding RNA (LUSI_LNC005612)
Source: RNAcentral